GAUGAACGCUGGCGGCGUGCCUAAUACAUGCAAGUCGAGCGAACGGACGAGAAGCUUGCUUCUCUGAUGUUAGCGGCGGACGGGUGAGUAACACGUGGAUAACCUACCUAUAAGACUGGGAUAACUUCGGGAAACCGGAGCUAAUACCGGAUGAUAUUUUGAACCGCAUGGUUCAAAAGUGAAAGACGGUCUUGCUGUCACUUAUAGAUGGAUCCGCGCUGCAUUAGCUAGUUGGUAAGGUAACGGCUUACCAAGGCAACGAUGCAUAGCCGACCUGAGAGGGUGAUCGGCCACACUGGAACUGAGACACGGUCCAGACUCCUACGGGAGGCAGCAGUAGGGAAUCUUCCGCAAUGGGCGAAAGCCUGACGGAGCAACGCCGCGUGAGUGAUGCAGGUCUUCGGAUCGUAAAACUCUGUUAUUAGGGAAGAACAUAUGUGUAAGUAACUGUGCACAUCUUGACGGUACCUAAUCAGAAAGCCACGGCUAACUACGUG
RNAcentral lists this ribosomal RNA (497 nucleotides) under uncultured bacterium. RNAcentral describes it as "partial 16S ribosomal RNA". It matches the Rfam family "Bacterial small subunit ribosomal RNA", at positions 28 to 507 of the family's 1533-position model. The record is from RNAcentral.